Molecule: long non-coding RNA, 596 nt
Filed under: Rattus norvegicus (Norway rat)
Lineage: Eukaryota; Metazoa; Chordata; Mammalia; Rodentia; Muridae
Description: long non-coding RNA NONRATT026174
Source: RNAcentral
CCUCCAGAGACCUGGGAAUGGCUGCCCUGCCACCAAACCAAUUGUCUCCCAGAAAAAGAUACAUCAUGUGAGAAGCCUCAUUACUGCCCUGCAUCCAUCUCCCUGAUAGCUCUCAAGGACAACUGCCAAGCACAUGUGUGAUGCCUUGGGAACAGAAAGCAGCAAGAGUCAUGUAUUCUCCAACUCACAUCAGCCCUUGACUCCAGCCUCUCUGUGAACCACUUUCAUCUCUGCCGCCAACUCACUGCAGUCCCAUGAGCACUUGUCCCCGGCUAAACAGUGUGCAGUAGCUGCGGAGUGGCUUCCAAAGUCCCACUCUCCUGGAUACGAAGCCCUCUCUUGGCUUAGCUCACAAUGCCAACCUCCACUCCCUUGUUUCAUUGUCUCUGCCAAACCAAACAAGUUUUGUCCCUCGCCUGGCCUAUUCCCAGAGGCAGAGGAGCCUGCCUCUCCGCCUCCACAGAGACUAAGGUAUUUCUACCUUGCUUUUUCAGGUCCAACUCAAAUGCUGCCUCCUUAAUAACCAUUCAUUCUCUCAACACUGACUGGGUCUUUAUCGUAUUCCAAGCAUUGAAUAAAAGGUCCUUGUUGACAUG